Molecule: non-coding RNA, 37 nt
Filed under: Schistosoma mansoni
Lineage: Eukaryota; Metazoa; Platyhelminthes; Trematoda; Strigeidida; Schistosomatidae
Source: RNAcentral
AACUGACAAGUCCCAAAUAGGACGAAACGCACGUCCU